Molecule: ribosomal RNA, 253 nt
Filed under: uncultured bacterium
Lineage: Bacteria
Description: partial 16S ribosomal RNA
Rfam family: Bacterial small subunit ribosomal RNA
Source: RNAcentral
GACGAACCGUGCGAACGUUGUUCGGAAUCACUGGGCUUAAAGGGCGCGUAGGCGGGCUGUCAAGUCCGGGGUGAAAGCCCCCAGCUCAACUGGGGAAGUGCCUUGGAUACUGGGAACCUCGAGGGAGGUAGGGGCGUGCGGAACUUCCGGUGGAGCGGUGAAAUGCGUAGAUAUCGGAAGGAACACCGGUGGCGAAAGCGGCGCGCUGGACCUCUUCUGACGCUGAGGCGCGAAAGCCAGGGGAGCAAACGGG